RNAcentral lists this ribosomal RNA (106 nucleotides) under Halomonas sp. DP5N14-9. RNAcentral describes it as "partial 16S ribosomal RNA". It matches the Rfam family "Bacterial small subunit ribosomal RNA", at positions 1426 to 1533 of the family's 1533-position model. Lineage: Bacteria; Pseudomonadati; Pseudomonadota; Gammaproteobacteria; Oceanospirillales; Halomonadaceae. The record is from RNAcentral.
GUGGUUAGCCUAACUUCGGAGGGCGAUCACCACGGUGUGGUUCAUGACUGGGGUGAAGUCGUAACAAGGUAGCCGUAGGGGAACCUGCGGCUGGAUCACCUCCUUA